UACGGAGGGUGCAAGCGUUAUCCGGAUUCACUGGGUUUAAAGGGUGCGUAGGUGGGCAAGUAAGUCAGUGGUGAAAUCUCCGGGCUUAACCCGGAAACUGCCAUUGAUACUAUUUGUCUUGAAUACUGUGGAGGUCAGCGGAAUAUGUCAUGUAGCGGUGAAAUGCUUAGAUAUGACAUAGAACACCAAUUGCGAAGGCAGCUGGCUACACAAAUAUUGACACUGAGGCACGAAAGCGUGGGAUCAAACAGG
RNAcentral lists this ribosomal RNA (252 nucleotides) under uncultured bacterium. RNAcentral's name for it is "partial 16S ribosomal RNA". It matches the Rfam family "Bacterial small subunit ribosomal RNA", at positions 524 to 776 of the family's 1533-position model. The record is from RNAcentral.